This 72-nucleotide transfer RNA is filed under the name Candidatus Omnitrophota bacterium. Its description in RNAcentral is "Candidatus Omnitrophica bacterium tRNA-Gly". It matches the Rfam family "tRNA". Rfam says of the family: Transfer RNA (tRNA) molecules are approximately 80 nucleotides in length. Their secondary structure includes four short double-helical elements and three loops (D, anti-codon, and T loops). Lineage: Bacteria; Pseudomonadati; Candidatus Omnitrophota. The record is from RNAcentral.
GCGAGGGUAGCUCAACGGUAGAGCUUCACGUUGCCAACGUGAAUGUUGCGGGUUCGAGCCCCGUCCCUCGCU